GAAUGGAAUGGUGUUGAAUUGGCACUGCAUGCUAAGUACUAAGGAAAGUUCACAACAUGUGGGCAAAAUAUACCGGACCGUACCUUACCUUAUAAUUUGUCUUGGGUAUUUCUAAAUAUAGGUUAUAGGCUGAGUCCAGGGUCUCUAUGGGGUUUGAGAACCGAAGGCCUGAGGCUGUAGCAUCCCGAGCGUAGCGAGGGUGCUACUAAGGGCCUAAGGGUCUCAAAACUCCAUAGUGACCGUUGGACGAGGCUGAUUUAGAAUAGUGCUAAGCAAGCUAAGCUAUUAGUAACACAAAGAAGACUCUGUUUCUACAAACCUCAAGCAACAUUAAAAGCUUUGCUCUGGCUAGUCUACAUAAAAAAAACUCACAUUGAAGGCAGUUUCCGUCUCUUGCAUAGCAAAAACUGUUAAUAGAAAGUUACUUAGUAGUUAGCUCUGCACUAGAGCACUAACUAUUGGUAGCUGCAAGAGUGAGAUAAAAGCUACAAAGCGGCACUGCAGAACACAAAGACUUUUAAAAAUUAGUUUUUAAUGAUGCACUGCAUCAUCGAUACUAUGACUUCGGUGUAACUUGUGCUUGUGCAUGUAUAAAAUAGAUGUUGCUAAGCAUUCCAUGUAUGUUUGUAUGUAUCAUGAAUUAAAUGCAUGUAGUGAACAUAUAAUGGACCACCAUAGAAGACCUCUCUAUGAGAAAUAAAGGACCUCCAAGUAACCAAUCAGAUUGCACCAUUUGUGACAAGCAUUUUCUAAAUGCUUUUAUAUUGUAGGUUGGAGAAUGAAUACCUGGACAACUGGGACACUGGGAAAAAUCGCUUAAGUGCACUGGCUGCAACAAGAUGCUGUAGUGAUGCCACAAGGACUGAAGUUCACAGUAUAAUAUACAAUGUGUAUUGUAAACCUAAAACUCCUUUGCAGUCAAAUAAUUCAUUGACAGGACCGCAAGUGCCUUUCUGAGUGAGCGAAUCGGCUAGAACCCUCUCGAAGUGUUUAACUACAUUUCUAUUUGAUGCACAUUGAUGCACAUAAUUAUUUUUUUACGUGUGAUCAAACAACAAUAAUUAUAAUUGUGAAUCGAAUCAACUAUAUACACUAAGAGUAUAAGUACAAUACGCUAAAGUGAUAGCUAUUAAAUUGUAUUUCCCUCGUAAAUCAUCCUACAACUUUGUUGCAAGUCAGUGCAGUUACAUGAUGCUGGCACUGCUAAAUAUCUUGAAUCCUUCGUCGUGGCUUCUCUCGAUCUGUGUUUCUCUGUAUUUAAAAGGUAAAAUGGACAAGCAAGCUACCAUACUUCUAAAUAAGGCAAGGGCGACAGAAAAAUUAGAAGGGCGCCUUAUAAAUAGAACAAUCUUGGCAGGUCUCAUCAUCCUCAAGCUUUCUGAAAAAAGAUGUGUACAACGCGCCACCAAAAAAUAAUCUCUCUAGCCACGUGGAGCUCUAUGGAGAUUACUGUUUAGUCUGGGUGGCUAAUGUAGACUGGUAUUUUGGACUUAUACCUUCGAUGCUCAUCACUGCCCCCAAGUCUCAUGUGCUGUCUGUCUGCUCUGUAAUCUGUGCUGCCAUCCCAAGGUGAUGUUUCCGGUGCAGUGAAUUAACUUCGCUGGACUGGCCAACAAUCGCGGUCCGUCUCUUUCUACACUGUGAAACUGAGCUAGACCACGCGCGCGCGUACGCCUACAAAUUCAGGCGCAAUUUUUGUGUUCUAAAGAUGCGCCACUCAGAAGUGGAAUUAAUUUUUUCUGGCGCUGUAAUUACAUCAAUUACGGUAGUCUUACAGCUGACAAUAAGUGCAGAAAAUAAGUGCAGAAAUGUCCUACCUACUACACUGGAAGGUUUAGAGCACACAAGUAGCUAUCCAGAAUUUUUACACAAUUUUUACACACAAAACUUAUCGUGGGCGUGUCUGCGUUUUAGCUGAUUCAGGGGCCCGGUAACAUAACAGAGGAGGUCGGACAUCACUCUUAAUUUUAUGUUUUAAUGACAUUCCAGGCCAAUUGCUUUUCGUUUUAAUUUGCUUUUCGUUUUUGCUGACUCAGCAGUAGCGUUAUGAUAGUCUCUAUAGUCUCUAUUUUAGCCAAGGUUGGGCGGCCUAAUCACGAGUCUGUGUUAUAGAGGGCGACUGAUUCAUGAGACAAUAUUUCUGCACGGUUUCUGUCGCUAGUUGGUACUGGACCUAACCCAUACUAGCUAGAUCCAGUCAUGUUCUACUGCUGAGUGAAAAGCAAUUUGGCAGGUCAUAAUUAGUGAAAGUUCAAGUGACCUGGUAAGCUACAAUAUACAUAUACAGCAGAUAUAACAAUAUGCAUGUACACAAGUCUAUCACUUAUGAUAGAUAGCACUGCCGAAUUUUCUUGAGACCACAAAACAAUGAUACCAAACAAGCAUGUAAUUAAACUCUUAUAGAAACUCUACUAAAUUACACUCUAAUACUUUUUGAGCGAAAGCAUAACAUGGCGAGAGGCAUUAGCAAGCGCACGCUUGCAACACCCGUUGCUCUUGAGUUGCUAUAUAGCACUGCAUUAUAAUUAUCUUAUAAUACCAACUAGCCUCGAUCCCAGGCCGAUUCGUCUCCAAUUGAACGCUAUAACGCUAUAGGUCGCCUCCGGCCUGGGAUCAAGGCUAGGCACCAACCAAAAGUUUGCACUUCAGUGCUCUAGUUACCCGAGGCGCGCGUGGGCGGCCACGGGUAUAGUAGUCGUUUGGUUUGGUUUGUCUGUCUGUUUGCAGCAUGGAUAGUAUUAGUUUUAACAAUAGUAGCUUUGUUGUCGAACGAUGGCAGCUAGCUAGCCUCGAUCCCAGCCCCUCUCACUAGAGGGCCUGGUAAACACUGUUUGCGCGUGGGUGGAUUCAAUAGUAAAUUUGUUAGUAAAACUCUUUGUAAUUUAUCAAUUAACCUUUUGUACUAUGGUGGUUGAUUAAACUAUUAAAGAGAAAUCGCCCAUCACAACUCUAGCACUCUAGCCUCGAGACCAGCCGUUCGUUAUCUGAAAGAACGCCUGGUCAAGUUCUAAUGUGCCAGCUGAGUCAGCGUUUUAUAGCAUCAUAAUAAUACACCUUGUGCGGGCAAUUACCGGUCCAAGAAAUUCCUGGACCGCUGGACGAGUGCUACAUUUGGAACUUGACCAGGCGUUCUUUCAGAUAACGAACGGCUGGUCUCGAGACUCGAGGCUCAUACAAUGCAAGGAGCACUGAUCUUACUGAGAUGGAAGCAAGUAGACUUGCCAGAGCCGGUAGGUACAGGUACUGACAGAAAAACGCCCACCACUCUACCACAGUACAAAUGAAGACUUUUCAACAAGAGCAGAACAGAAGUAGAACCCAUAUAUCACAACAAAACUAGUCACUAGUCUAGGUCAUAAAUGUUGUAAGUAGCUGUGUUAUUUUAUUAAAACUGCUGUGUUUGUGCAAUGACAUCAUUGUAAAAUAUACAAUAUACUGACUAAUUUACUAAGAUAUCUCGAUCCCCAAGAAUCUUGGGGCAUGCGCAGACAAUGUAUACCAAGUGGGAGUCCAGCGCAAGCUGGCUUCUAACCUUCAGAACUGCCGCAAUGCAGGUCUGACGUGUGUCCCUCUUGUCGCUGAAACUCUUGGAGGUCUGGCCGAGGAUUUCAUCUCGACGAUUCAAGUCAUCGGCAGAUCGAUUCGUCUCCGAUCAGGUGCCGACCGAGAUACGGACACAACUAAACACCUCUUCGGCAGAGUCAGCUUGGCUUUGUGGCGGGGCUAUGCUGAUUUACAGAGCUCUGCCCCCUGGUGUAACUUAGUCAUUUUUAUAUCUUAAUUUAUUUUAAUUUAAAAAAAAUUUAUUUUAAUUUAUUCUGCCCCCACUUUGGCCUCACUCACUUUGUCACUCACUUUGCUCUGCCCCCUGGUGUAACUUAGUCAUUUUUAUAUCUUAAUUUAUUUUAAUUUAAAAAAAAUUUAUUUUAAUUUAUUCUGCCCCCACUUUUUGGCCUCACUCACUUUGUCACUCACUUUGUCAUCACAUGUUCAAAAAAAAAAAAAAAAAGAA
This is a long non-coding RNA of Halichondria panicea, 4012 nucleotides long. RefSeq lists it as uncharacterized. The record is from RefSeq and is a predicted model, not a curated record. The transcript is spliced from 2 exons. NCBI's taxonomy places the organism in Eukaryota, Metazoa, Porifera, Demospongiae, Suberitida, Halichondriidae.